GACGGACCGCUGUUUCUUUCUUAAACCAGAGGAAGGUUGCGGCAAUAACAGGUCUGUGAUGCCCUUAGAUGUUCCGGGCUGCACACGUGCUACAAUGAUCAGUACAGUGAGCAUCUCAAUUUUAUAACACCGUAUUAAGCGCUUGGGUCGUAAUUGUUAGGCCUUUUGGGUUUUUUCAAUUGCGUUUCUCCAAUGCGCACGGUAAAGCCUGCUUCGAGAGUAAGUGGGUAAUCCAUUGGAAGUAAUGAUUUCCUUAUUUUUAUAAACAGCACACCAAUAUACGGCAUUCAUUCCCGAGACGGCUUAGUUCCGACUUUGUGCGAAUGUAAUGUAUUCUUAUCCGUAUGUGCGAUUGUCAAUUCAUGGUGGGGACAGACCAUUGUUAAUUGUUGGUCUCGGUCUUAACUAGGAAUGCCUUGUACGGGUCUUUGGUUCAACAAACCACCCGGAAUACGUCAA
Molecule: ribosomal RNA, 459 nt
Filed under: Globorotalia inflata
Lineage: Eukaryota; Foraminifera; Rotaliida; Globorotaliidae
Description: SSU rRNA
Rfam family: Eukaryotic small subunit ribosomal RNA
Source: RNAcentral